This 439-nucleotide ribosomal RNA is filed under the name uncultured soil bacterium. RNAcentral's name for it is "bacterial SSU rRNA". It matches the Rfam family "Bacterial small subunit ribosomal RNA", at positions 26 to 501 of the family's 1533-position model. The record is from RNAcentral.
AGAACGAACGCUGGCGGCAUGCCUAAUACAUGCAAGUCGAACGAACACUUCGGUGUUAGUGGCGCACGGGUGCGUAACGCGUGGGAAUCUGCCCUUGGGUUCGGAAUAACAGUUGGAAACGACUGCUAAUACCGGAUGAUGACGUUAAGUCCAAAGAUUUAUCGCCCAGGGAUGAGCCCGCGUAGGAUUAGCUAGUUGGUGAGGUAAAGGCUCACCAAGGCGACGAUCCUUAGCUGGUCUGAGAGGAUGAUCAGCCACACUGGGACUGAGACACGGCCCAGACUCCUACGGGAGGCAGCAGUGGGGAAUAUUGGACAAGUGGCGAAAGCCUAGGAUCCAGCAAUGCCGCGUGAGUGAUGAAGGUCCUUAGGGUUGUAAACGUCUUACGUUUUACCCGGGAUGAAUAAUGACAGGUACGGAGAAUAAGCUCCGGACUAAC